CAGAGUAUAGGGGUGUAGUUAAAGGUGAGUGAGGGGGAGAGUAGAGUAUAGAGGUGUGGUUAAAUGUAAGUGAGGGGGAGAACAGAGUAUAGGGGUGUAGUUAAAGGUGAGUGAGGGGGAGAGUAGAGUAUAGAGGGUGUAGUUAAAGGUGAGUGAGGGGGAGAGUAGAGUAUAUUGGGUGUAGUUAAAUGUAAGUGAGGGGGAGAACAGAGUAUAGGGGUGUAGUUAAAGGUGAGUGAGGGGGAGAGUAGAGUAUAUGGGUGUAGUUAAAUGUAAGUGAGGGGGAGAGUAGAGUAUAGGGGUGUAGUUAAAGGUGAGUGAGGGGGAGAGUAGAGUAUAGAGGGUGUAGUUAAAGGUGAGUGAGGGGGAGAGUAGAGUAUAGAGGGUGUAGCUAAAGGUAAGUGAGGGUGAGAGUAGAGUAUAGGGGUGUAGUUAAAGGUGAGUGAGGGGGAGAGUAGAGUAUAGGGGUGUAGUUAAAGGUGAGUGAGGGGGAGAGUAGAGUAUAGAGGGUGUAGUUAAAGGUGAGUGAGGGGGAGAGUAGAGUAUAUAGGGUGUAGUUAAAUGUAAGUGAGGGGGAGAACAGAGUAUAGGGGUGUAGUUAAAGGUGAGUGAGGGGGAGAGUAGAGUAUAUGGGUGUAGUUAAAGGUGAGUGAGGGGGAGAGUAGAGUAUAUAGGGUGUAGUUAAAUGUAAGUGAGGGGGAGAGUAGAGUAUAGGGGUGUAGUUAAAGGUGAGUGAGGGGGAGAGUAGAGUAUAGAGGGUGUAGUUAAAGGUGAGUGAGGGGGAGAGUAGAGUAUAGAGGGUGUAGCUAAAGGUAAGUGAGGGUGAGAGUAGAGUAUAGGGGUGUAGUUAAAGGUGAGUGAGGGGGAGAGUUGAGUAUAGGAGGUGUAGUUAAAGGUGAGUGAGGGGGAGGGUAGAGUAUAUAGGGUGUAGUUAAAUGUAAGUGAGAAGGAGAGUAGAGUAUAGGGGUGUAGUUAAAGGUGAGUGAGGGGGGAGUAGAGUAUAGGAGGUGUAGUUAAAGGUGAGUGAGGGGGGAGUAGAGUAUAGGAGGUGUAGUUAAAGGUGAGUGAGGAGGAGAAUAGAGUAUAGAGGGUGAAGUUAAAGGUGAGUGAGGGGUGAGUAGAGUAUAGGGGUGUAGUUAAAGGUAAGUGAGGAGGAGAAUAGAGUAUAGAGGGUGUAGUUAAAAGUGAGUGAGGGGGAGAGUAGAGUAUAGGGGGUGUAGUUAAAGGUAAGUGAGGGGGAGAGUAGAGUAUAUAGGGUGUAGUUAUAUGUAAGUGAGGGGGAGAGUAGAGUAUAGGGGUGUAGUUAAAGGUGAGUGAGGGGGAGAGUAGAGUAUAGAGGUGUGGUUAAAGGUGAGUGAGGGGGAGAGUAGAGUAUAUGGGUGUAGUUAAAUGUAAGUGAGGGUGAGAGUAGAGUAUAGGGGUGUAGUUAAAGGUGAGUGAGGGGGAGAGUAGAGUAUAUGGGUGUAGUUAAAUGUAAGUGAGGGUGAGAGUAGAGUAUAGGGGUGUAGUUAAAGGUGAGUGAGGGGGAGAGUUGAGUAUAGGAGGUGUAGUUAAAGGUGAGUGAGGGGGAGAGUAGAGUAUAUGGGUGUAGUUAAAUGUAAGUGAGGGUGAGAGUAGAGUAUAGGGGUGUAGUUAAAGGUGAGUGAGGGGGAGAGUAGAGUAUAUGGGUGUAGUUAAAUGUAAGUGAGGGUGAGAGUAGAGUAUAGGGGUGUAGUUAAAGGUGAGUGAGGGGGAGAGUUGAGUAUAGGAGGUGUAGUUAAAGGUGAGUGAGGGGGAGAGUAGAGUAUAUGGGUGUAGUUAAAUGUAAGUGAGGGUGAGAGUAGAGUAUAGGGGUGUAGUUAAAGGUGAGUGAGGGGGAGAGUUGAGUAUAGGAGGUGUAGUUAAAGGUGAGUGAGGGGGAGGGUAGAGUAUAUAGGGUGUAGUUAAAUGUAAGUGAGGAGGAGAGUAGAGUAUAGGGGUGUAGUUAAAGGUGAGUGAGGGGAGAGUAGAGUAUAGGAGGUGUAGUUAAAGGUGAGUAAAGGGGUGAGUAUAGUAUAGGGGUGUGGUUAAAGGUAAGUGAGGGGGAGAAUAGAGUAUAGAGGGUGUAGUUAAAGGUGAGUGAGGGGUGAGUAGAGUAUAGGGGUGUAGUUAAAGGUAAGUGAGGGGGAGAGUAGAGUAUAGAGGGUGUAGUUAAAGGUGAGUGAGGGGGAGAGUAGAGUAUAGAGGUGUAGUUAAAGGUGAGUGAGGGGGAGAGUAGAGUAUAGAGGUGUGGUUAAAGGUAAGUGAGGGGGAGAGUAGAGUAUAGGGGUGUAGUUAAAUGUAAGUGAGGGGGAGAGUUGAGUAUAGGAGGUGUAGUUAAAGGUGAGUGAGGGGGAGGGUAGAGUAUAUAGGGUGUAGUUAAAUGUAAGUGAGGAGGAGAGUAGAGUAUAGGGGUGUAGUUAAAGGUGAGUGAGGGGAGAGUAGAGUAUAGGAGGUGUAGUUAAAGGUGAGUAAAGGGGUGAGUAUAGUAUAGGGGUGUAGUUAAAGGUAAGUGAGGGGGAGAGUAGAGUAUAGAGGGUGUAGUUAAAGGUAAGUGAGGGGGAGAGUAGAGUAUAGGGGUGUAGUUAAAGGUGAGUGAGGGGGAGAGUAGAGUAUAGAGGUGUAGUUAAAGGUGAGUGAGGGGGAGAGUAGAGUAUAGAGGUGUGGUUAAAGGUAAGAGAGGGGGAGAGUAGAGUAUAGAGGGUGUAGUUAAAGGUGAGUGAGGGGGAGAGUUGAGUAUAGGAGGUGUAGUUAAAGGUGAGUGAGGGGGAGAGUAGAGUAUAGGGGGUGUAGUUAAAGGUAAGUGAGGGGGAGAGUAGAGUAUAGAGGGUGUAGUUAAAGGUGAGUGAGGGGAGAGUAGAGUAUAUGGGUGUAGUUAAAUGUAAGUGAGGGUGAGAGUAGAGUAUAGGGGUGUAGUUAAAUGUAAGUGAGGGGGAGAGUUGAGUAUAGGAGGUGUAGUUAAAGGUGAGUGAGGGGGAGGGUAGAGUAUAUAGGGUGUAGUUAAAUGUAAGUGAGGAGGAGAGUAGAGUAUAGGGGUGUAGUUAAAGGUGAGUGAGGGGAGAGUAGAGUAUAGGAGGUGUAGUUAAAGGUGAGUAAAGGGGUGAGUAUAGUAUAGGGGUGUGGUUAAAGGUAAGUGAGGGGGAGAAUAGAGUAUAGAGGGUGUAGUUAAAGGUGAGUGAGGGGGAGAGUAGAGUAUAGAGGGUGUAGUUAAAGGUGAGUGAGGGGGAGAGUAGAGUAUAGAGGUGUAGUUAAAGGUGAGUGAGGGGGAGAGUAGAGUAUAGGGGUGUAGUUAAAGGUGAGUGAGGGGGAGAGUAGAGUAUAGAGGUGUGGUUAAAGGUAAGUGAGGGGGAGAGUAGAGUAUAGAGGUGUGGUUAAAGGUAAGUGAGGGGGAGAGUAGAGUAUAGGGGUGUAGUUAAAGGCGAGUGAGGGGGACAGUAAAGUAUAGUUUUUAUAUAGUGUUACAGAUAAGAAGAGAAGAGAAGAAGCAUCUUUUUGCUUUUAUGCAGCAAAGAAAUGGCUCAGACAAGCAGCAUCAG
Long non-coding RNA from Astyanax mexicanus (Mexican tetra), 3533 nucleotides. RefSeq lists it as uncharacterized. Lineage: Eukaryota; Metazoa; Chordata; Actinopteri; Characiformes; Acestrorhamphidae. The transcript has 5 exons. The record is from RefSeq and is a predicted model, not a curated record.